This is a long non-coding RNA of Gambusia affinis (western mosquitofish), 422 nucleotides long. RefSeq lists it as uncharacterized. The record is from RefSeq and is a predicted model, not a curated record. NCBI's taxonomy places the organism in Eukaryota, Metazoa, Chordata, Actinopteri, Cyprinodontiformes, Poeciliidae. The transcript is spliced from 3 exons.
CAGAGGAGAAAGAUUGAGGCGGGAGCGCAAGGAUUCUCCCUCAGCUGCAUAAAACAACUCCCAGCAGAUUUCAGACAUUAAACCGGAACAGCAGGAGGCUGAGUUGGUGAAGCUGUCUGACCAAAAACCUGCUUGAGAUUCAGAAGAGCCAGAAGAAAAGUCAUUACAAAUGGAAUCAGCGACAUGGUUUUUAUUAAGUCUGGAUGCCUGCUGCAUUGUGCGAACAUGAAGGGGGAACAUUUUGUCCAAUGAGACCAGGCACCUGUUUCUACUCCGUAUAAACGAACUUCUUACCCUUUCUCCCUGCGAGAGACAAACAGAAGUUACAGACAACUCAGUUUAGAUUGAUUUCAGACUUGGCAGCGGCUCACACUGUGAAAAGAGAAAAUCCAUCUCCAGUUGCACACCAACGCCCAGGGUGA